AUGACACAUAUCGGGCGCGACGCCCCAAGGGACAGUCUGGAGUCUGGCAGUCUGGAAGGCGCGGUGGUGAGACUGGCCGGGAAGCUGCCAGUGGCGGUGAUGGCGGAAAGUGCCUUCAGUUUUAGAAAGUUGCUGGAUGAAUGCGAGAACCAGGAGCUCGAGGCUCCUGGAGGAAUUGCCACGCCCGCCGUGUACGGCCAGCUUCUCGCGUCGUAUCUGCUCCACGGUGACAUGAAUAAUGCAAGAUAUCUUUGGGAAAGAAUACCUCCUGCUAUAAAAUCUGCAAAUUCUGAACUUGGAGGGAUUUGGUCAGUAGGACAGAGAAUCUGGCAGAGAGAUUUCCCUGGGAUCUAUGCAACCAUCAGCGCCCACCAGUGGUCUGAGACGGUGCAGCCAAUCAUGCAAGCGCUCAGAGACGCGACUGGGCGGCCUGCCUUUGCCCUGGUCUCCCGAGCGCACGCCUCCAUCAUCGCUGAUGACUUUGCGGCCUCUGUUGGACUUCCUGUAGAAGAAGCUGUGAAAGGUAUCUUAGAGCAAGGAUGGCAAGCGGACUCCACCACGAGAAUGGUUGUUCCCCGAAGCCAGUUGCAGGCGCCCUGGAUGUUUCCUUUAACAGAAUUAUUCCCCUGUCAGAGCCCGCCCCAGUCCCGCCGAUCCCCAACGGGCAGCAGCUGGCGAGGCUGACCCACUAUGUGGCUUUCCUGGAGAACUGACGUCGCCGGGUUCGGGCCACCCGCAGCGCCCUGUACACGGACAGAUGGCGGCAUGUAAAGCUUUUAUUUUCAAUUUACUGGAUGGAUUAAGCACCUCAGC
RNA transcript from Octodon degus (degu), 813 nucleotides. It is a transcript of the gene named COP9 signalosome complex subunit 8 pseudogene, with no coding region annotated. The transcript has a single exon. NCBI's taxonomy places the organism in Eukaryota, Metazoa, Chordata, Mammalia, Rodentia, Octodontidae. The record is from RefSeq and is a predicted model, not a curated record.